This 391-nucleotide ribosomal RNA is filed under the name uncultured bacterium. RNAcentral's name for it is "bacterial SSU rRNA". It matches the Rfam family "Bacterial small subunit ribosomal RNA", at positions 28 to 420 of the family's 1533-position model. The record is from RNAcentral.
GACGAACGCUGGCGGCGUGCUUAACACAUGCAAGUCGAGCGGUAAGGCCCUUUCGGGGGUACACGAGCGGCGAACGGGUGAGUAACACGUGGGUGACCUGCCCUCAGCUCUGGGAUAAGCCUGGGAAACCGGGUCUAAUACUGGAUAUGACUCCAUGACGCAUGUUGUGGGGUGGAAAGCCUUGUGCGGCUGAGGAUGGGCCCGCGGCCUAUCAGCUUGUUGGUGGGGUGANGGCCUACCAAGGCGACGACGGGUAGCCGGCCUGAGAGGGCGACCGGCCACACUGGGACUGAGACACGGCCCAGACUCCUACGGGAGGCAGCAGUGGGGAAUCUUGCGCAAUGGUCGAAAGCCUGACGCAGCGACGCCGCGUGAGGGAUGACGGCCUCGG